GCUCACCAGCCAUGCUAACUGUCUAUAGAGACAGACCCAAGAAAAAGUAAUCAACCCCUGACAGCCUUUGCAUUGUCCAUGAUCUCAGCCUACCACCUCCUCCCCCUGAGGCUGGGCCAU
Molecule: long non-coding RNA, 120 nt
Filed under: Callithrix jacchus (white-tufted-ear marmoset)
Lineage: Eukaryota; Metazoa; Chordata; Mammalia; Primates; Cebidae
Description: lncRNA (ENSCJAG00000084450.1)
Source: RNAcentral